GUGAGCUUCAGAAAGAUUUAAAAUAAAGAUUCAUAACCUAUGGACUGCAGAAUGAUAUGGGAAUAGGAAAAUGAAAGAGGGAGAAUUAAAUUUGCAUUUUCACUAAUCUCUAAAUGAAAUUUAGCAUUUGAUUCCAUUAUGAAUGUAGCCAAUAGAUAUGAUUCUGAGAAGAGAUUCAGAGGCUUAUCCAGACUGCCAAAGAAGUGUAUGAUGCCAAAAAAUAAAAACAAAAAACAAAAAAGUUGAGAAUCCCUGAUUUAAUGAUGUAACCAUGGAAAAUAUUCUUAAUGAAUUAAUUAAUUUUUUAAUUAAAAAAAGAAUCCCUGAUUUAAAACCAAGUCUCUCCUGCUCCCAGGUUCACCUCUAUCACUAUAUCUCAGACUGCUUCUUGAGGGAAAAGGAAUAGAGAAGAACUACACACACACACAUACAGAGAGAGAGAGAGAGAGAGAGAGAGAGAGAGAGAGAGAGAGAGAGAAAGAGAGAGAGAGAGAGAGAGAGAGAGAGAGAGAGAGAGAGAGAGAGAGAGAGAGAGAGAGAGAGAGAGAAAAGACCAUUAAUUUCAUGUGUGGCAGGGUUGGUUUGGGGGGUUGAUUGAUUGCUUUUGAGACUGGAUCUCUCUAUCUCACCCAAGUCCAGAAGUAUAGUAGUCACUCAAAGCCCAAUCCUACUGCUCGCAGGCGCAGAAGCUUUGAUCUGUAACAUUUCUGGGCUAGGUCGGUUCAUCACUCCUUAGGGACUCCCCCAACUCCUCUGGUCUCCCCAUGUUGGUGCAGGACUUAGUAAGGACGGGUGAGAACUUGCCCUUCUCAGGGGCUCAUUUCCAACCACUAACCAAGUCCAGAACCUCACAAAAGAAAGGAAAAAUCCAUCUGAUAACAUACGUGGUGAUGCAAAGGGAAGUGAGCAGAAGCAGGUCAAUGCUGUCCACAGUAACAGCAGUAACUGUGAAUGACUUAACUAUUAUCAAUGAGGGAAGGUCAACUCCAAGGGAAUUGGGAUUAUAAAGGUUAUCUUCUGCCACAGAAGGAACAGAGUCUAAAUGCAUAUAGAAACAUGCCAUUCUUUACUUUAUUUCCUCCAUGAAUUUUUCUCUAGUGUAGGCAAUAUGUAUCUUGCUUCACAAUAUGACAAACAGGGAAGUAUGCAUUAUAUAAU
RNAcentral lists this long non-coding RNA (1158 nucleotides) under Monodelphis domestica (gray short-tailed opossum). RNAcentral's name for it is "lncRNA (ENSMODG00000044920.1)". Lineage: Eukaryota; Metazoa; Chordata; Mammalia; Didelphimorphia; Didelphidae. The record is from RNAcentral.